UGGGGAAUAUUGGGCAAUGGAGGCAACUCUGACCCAGCAAUACCGCGUGAGUGAAGAAGGUCUUCGGAUUGUAAAGCUCUUGCAGGGGGGACGAAAAAAAUGACGGUACCCCCGGAAGAAGCCACGGCAAACUACGUGCCAGCAGCCGCGGUAAUACGUAGGUGGCAAGCGUUGUUCGGAAUGACUGGGCGUAAAGGGUGCGUAGGCGGCUUUGUAAGUUUUAAGUGAAAUCCCGUGGCUCAACUACGGUGCUACUUAAAAAACUGCAGAGCUUGAGUGUGGGAGAGGUAAGUGGAAUUCCUAGUGUAGCGGUGGAAUGCGUAGAUAUUAGGAGGAACAUCAGAGGCGAAGGCGGCUUACUGGACCAUAACUGACGCUGAGGCACGAAAGCGUGGGGAGCAAACA
This 405-nucleotide ribosomal RNA is filed under the name uncultured bacterium. RNAcentral's name for it is "partial 16S ribosomal RNA". It matches the Rfam family "Bacterial small subunit ribosomal RNA", at positions 355 to 774 of the family's 1533-position model. The record is from RNAcentral.